Molecule: long non-coding RNA, 325 nt
Filed under: Hordeum vulgare
Lineage: Eukaryota; Viridiplantae; Streptophyta; Magnoliopsida; Poales; Poaceae
Description: long non-coding RNA (HVUL_LNC013075)
Source: RNAcentral
CGGUUUGUGCUUAGUUACAUGGUUGCCUUUGCGAUUUUAUUCGACAGGGUCCCCUCCCCACAGGUGAUCAACUUAAGAAUCAAUCCUAUACUUAACAGCUAGUUGUUCAUCAGGCAGGGUAAAUUAGUAUAGACUGCUGAACUUUUGCCGAAAGGGUUAAAGCGAAAAGUCGGCGUGAGUAGCUAGAGCAAGUGAUGGAUCGCCGCUUGGAUUUUAAAAAACCCUCAACUGAUGCUUCAAAUUUCAGUCUUUUUCAGGCUGUCCAGACUCUGUCACAUGCUUGCAUAGUUGCAUCCUGUGCUGCUUCUUGCUGUUGCUCUGCUUU